Molecule: ribosomal RNA, 401 nt
Filed under: Pseudomonas sp. R-42287
Lineage: Bacteria; Pseudomonadati; Pseudomonadota; Gammaproteobacteria; Pseudomonadales; Pseudomonadaceae
Description: bacterial SSU rRNA
Rfam family: Bacterial small subunit ribosomal RNA
Source: RNAcentral
AUUGAACGCUGGCGGCAGGCCUAACACAUGCAAGUCGAGCGGAUGAUGGGAGCUUGCUCCUGGAUUCAGCGGCGGACGGGUGAGUAAUGCCUAGGAAUCUGCCUGGUAGUGGGGGACAACGUUUCGAAAGGAACGCUAAUACCGCAUACGUCCUACGGGAGAAAGCAGGGGACCUUCGGGCCUUGCGCUAUCAGAUGAGCCUAGGUCGGAUUAGCUAGUUGGUGGGGUAAAGGCCUACCAAGGCGACGAUCCGUAACUGGUCUGAGAGGAUGAUCAGUCACACUGGAACUGAGACACGGUCCAGACUCCUACGGGAGGCAGCAGUGGGGAAUAUUGGACAAUGGGCGAAAGCCUGAUCCAGCCAUGCCGCGUGUGUGAAGAAGGUCUUCGGAUUGUAAAGC